Molecule: unclassified non-coding RNA, 241 nt
Filed under: plant metagenome
Description: partial contains small subunit ribosomal RNA, internal transcribed spacer 1, and 5.8S ribosomal RNA
Source: RNAcentral
UUUCCGUAGGUGAACCUGCGGAAGGAUCAUUAAAGAGUAAGGGUCUUCGGGCCCGAUCUCCAACCCUUUGUUUAACUACCAUGUUGCUUUGGCGGGCCCGCCUCACGACCGCCGGAAGUUUGGCUUCGACCAAACUUCUGGCCCGUGCCCGUCAGUGGCCCCUUCAAAUUCUUGAUCAAGUAUGAUGUCUUAGUUAAAAACUUAAUAGUUAAAACUUUCAACAACGGAUCUCUUGGUUCUG